AGAGUUUGAUCAUGGCUCAGAUUGAACGCUGGCGGCAGGCCUAACACAUGCAAGUCGAACGGUAACAGGAAACAGCUUGCUGUUUCGCUGACGAGUGGCGGACGGGUGAGUAAUGUCUGGGAAACUGCCUGAUGGAGGGGGAUAACUACUGGAAACGGUAGCUAAUACCGCAUAACGUCGCAAGACCAAAGAGGGGGACCUUCGGGCCUCUUGCCAUCGGAUGUGCCCAGAUGGGAUUAGCUUGUUGGUGGGGUAACGGCUCACCAAGGCGACGAUCCCUAGCUGGUCUGAGAGGAUGACCAGCCACACUGGAACUGAGACACGGUCCAGACUCCUACGGGAGGCAGCAGUGGGGAAUAUUGCACAAUGGGCGCAAGCCUGAUGCAGCCAUGCCGCGUGUAUGAAGAAGGCCUUCGGGUUGUAAAGUACUUUCAGCGGGGAGGAAGGGAGUAAAGUUAAUACCUUUGCUCAUUGACGUUACCCGCAGAAGAAGCACCGGCUAACUCCGUGCCAGCAGCCGCGGUAAUACGGAGGGUGCAAGCGUUAAUCGGAAUUACUGGGCGUAAAGCGCACGCAGGCGGUUUGUUAAGUCAGAUGUGAAAUCCCCGGGCUCAACCUGGGAACUGCAUCUGAUACUGGCAAGCUUGAGUCUCGUAGAGGGGGGUAGAAUUCCAGGUGUAGCGGUGAAAUGCGUAGAGAUCUGGAGGAAUACCGGUGGCGAAGGCGGCCCCCUGGACGAAGACUGACGCUCAGGUGCGAAAGCGUGGGGAGCAAACAGGAUUAGAUACCCUGGUAGUCCACGCCGUAAACGAUGUCGACUUGGAGGUUGUGCCCUUGAGGCGUGGCUUCCGGAGCUAACGCGUUAAGUCGACCGCCUGGGGAGUACGGCCGCAAGGUUAAAACUCAAAUGAAUUGACGGGGGCCCGCACAAGCGGUGGAGCAUGUGGUUUAAUUCGAUGCAACGCGAAGAACCUUACCUGGUCUUGACAUCCACGGAAGUUUCCAGAGAUGAGAAUGUGCCUUCGGGAACCGUGAGACAGGUGCUGCAUGGCUGUCGUCAGCUCGUGUUGUGAAAUGUUGGGUUAAGUCCCGCAACGAGCGCAACCCUUAUCCUUUGUUGCCAGCGGUCCGGCCGGGAACUCAAAGGAGACUGCCAGUGAUAAACUGGAGGAAGGUGGGGAUGACGUCAAGUCAUCAUGGCCCUUACGACCAGGGCUACACACGUGCUACAAUGGCGCAUACAAAGAGAAGCGACCUCGCGAGAGCAAGCGGACCUCAUAAAGUGCGUCGUAGUCCGGAUUGGAGUCUGCAACUCGACUCCAUGAAGUCGGAAUCGCUAGUAAUCGUGGAUCAGAAUGCCACGGUGAAUACGUUCCCGGGCCUUGUACACACCGCCCGUCACACCAUGGGAGUGGGUUGCAAAAGAAGUAGGUAGCUUAACCUUCGGGAGGGCGCUUACCACUUUGUGAUUCAUGACUGGGGUGAAGUCGUAACAAGGUAACCGUAGGGGAACCUGCGGUUGGAUCACCU
Molecule: ribosomal RNA, 1530 nt
Filed under: Escherichia coli HVH 56 (4-2153033)
Lineage: Bacteria; Pseudomonadati; Pseudomonadota; Gammaproteobacteria; Enterobacterales; Enterobacteriaceae
Description: bacterial SSU rRNA
Rfam family: Bacterial small subunit ribosomal RNA
Source: RNAcentral